GUCGUCGCAUCCGCUUAUAACCACUCAGCUGCUCCCGCAGUGCAGAGUCCUGCUCAUGCUCCUGGAUCUGACGGCUAACCUGGGGCAGGAGAGAGGGUGAGAGCUGGGGCUCAGCCUGGCCCCUAGUUAAUUAACACAAAGGGUCUUCCAUGGGGAAGAACAUGGGUUUUCAACUCAUAAGUUUCAUUCUCAUUUAGCACUUUCCUCACACACAGCCUCUCUAGCCUGUUUCCUCAACUGGAUAAUGGUAGUAUUAUCUACCUCACAAGUUGGUGUGACUGAAUGACAAAAGGUGGCAAGCACAGGGCCUGGCACAAAAGUAGGAACAAUCCAUACUAAUUUGAAACAGUGAGUCAGACAGACCUAGGAUCAAAUCCCAGCUUUGCCACUGACCAAUCAUGUGAUCUCAACAAACAUGGUGGGCCUAUCACUCCCCAGGUAUUGAGCUGGGAUCGGGGCCACAAGAUGCUGGAAUAACAAGAACACUGGGCUUGGACACCUUCAUCCAAAGUCUCAUCUCAGGUCUCAAUCUCAAUUGACUCUAUGUGUGGCUCUUAAACUAGUCCUGGCAGCCAAGCCCCUGGCAGUCAAGACCUCUCUGCACAGUACCGCAAAACACCAUGGGAUCUGAAGAGUUGUUGGAACACAACCAGCCCCAAGCAGAGGCCGUAAGAACAUACUAGACUGAAUCAGUGGCCUCUAAGGGGAUUGCUGACACUCAAAUGCAGCUGAGCAGGAAUGUGAUCUAAAGGCUUAUUAAAAACAUGGAUGAAAAGCUA
This is a non-coding RNA of Macaca mulatta (Rhesus monkey), 779 nucleotides long. The record is from RefSeq and is a predicted model, not a curated record. Lineage: Eukaryota; Metazoa; Chordata; Mammalia; Primates; Cercopithecidae.